Molecule: non-coding RNA, 121 nt
Organism: Triticum urartu
Lineage: Eukaryota; Viridiplantae; Streptophyta; Magnoliopsida; Poales; Poaceae
Source: Rfam
AUCAUACUCCCUCCGUCUGGAAAUACUUGUCGGGGAAAUAGAUCUGGAUGUAUUUUAGUUCUAGAUAUAUUUAAUUUUAUCUAUUUGUGCGACAAGUAUUUUUGGACGGUGGGAGUAAAUA